UGCCAGCCGCCGCGGUAAUACGGGAGUGGCAAGCGUUAUCCGGAAUUAUUGGGCGUAAAGCGCAUGUAGGCUGGUUUGUAAGUUGGAAGUGAAAUCCUAUGGCUUAACCAUAGAACUGCUUCCAAAACUGCAGACCUAGAGUAUGGGAGAGGUAGAUGGAAUUUCUGGUGUAGGGGUAAAAUCCGUAGAGAUCAGAAGGAAUACCGAUUGCGAAGGCGAUCUACUGGAACAUAACUGGCGCUGAGAUGCGAAAGCGUGGGGAGCAAACAGGAUUAGAUA
This 279-nucleotide ribosomal RNA is filed under the name uncultured bacterium. Its description in RNAcentral is "partial 16S ribosomal RNA". It matches the Rfam family "Bacterial small subunit ribosomal RNA", at positions 506 to 784 of the family's 1533-position model. The record is from RNAcentral.